RNAcentral lists this ribosomal RNA (1025 nucleotides) under Glonium stellatum. RNAcentral's name for it is "SSU rRNA". It matches the Rfam family "Eukaryotic small subunit ribosomal RNA", at positions 77 to 1110 of the family's 1831-position model. The record is from RNAcentral. Lineage: Eukaryota; Fungi; Ascomycota; Dothideomycetes; Gloniales; Gloniaceae.
UACGGUGAAACUGCGAAUGGCUCAUUAAAUCAGUUAUCGUUUAUUUGAUAGUACCUUACUACUUGGAUAACCGUGGUAAUUCUAGAGCUAAUACAUGCUAAAAACCCCGACUUCGGAAGGGGUGUAUUUAUUAGAUAAAAAACCAACGCCCUUCGGGGCUUCUUGGUGAUUCAUGAUAACUUAACGAAUCGCAUGGCCUUGCGCCGGCGAUGGUUCAUUCAAAUUUCUGCCCUAUCAACUUUCGAUGGUAGGAUAGUGGCCUACCAUGGUAUCAACGGGUAACGGGGAAUUAGGGUUCUAUUCCGGAGAGGGAGCCUGAGAAACGGCUACCACAUCCAAGGAAGGCAGCAGGCGCGCAAAUUACCCAAUCCCGACACGGGGAGGUAGUGACAAUAAAUACUGAUACAGGGCUCUUUUGGGUCUUGUAAUCGGAAUGAGUACAAUUUAAAUCCCUUAACGAGGAACAAUUGGAGGGCAAGUCUGGUGCCAGCAGCCGCGGUAAUUCCAGCUCCAAUAGCGUAUAUUAAAGUUGUUGCAGUUAAAAAGCUCGUAGUUGAACCUUGGGCCUGGCUGGCCGGUCCGCCUCACCGCGUGCACUGGUUCGGCCGGGCCUUUCCUUCUGGGGAGCCGCAUGCCCUUCACUGGGUGUGUCGGGGAACCAGGACUUUUACUUUGAAAAAAUUAGAGUGUUCAAAGCAGGCCUUUGCUCGGAUACAUUAGCAUGGAAUAAUAGAAUAGGACGUGCGGUCCUAUUUUGUUGGUUUCUAGGACCGCCGUAAUGAUUAAUAGGGAUAGUCGGGGGCAUCAGUAUUCAAUUGUCAGAGGUGAAAUUCUUGGAUUUAUUGAAGACUAACUACUGCGAAAGCAUUUGCCAAGGAUGUUUUCAUUAAUCAGUGAACGAAAGUUAGGGGAUCGAAGACGAUCAGAUACCGUCGUAGUCUUAACCGUAAACUAUGCCGACUAGGGAUCGGGCGAUGUUAUCAUUUUGACUCGCUCGGCACCUUACGAGAAAUCAAAGUCUUUGG